This 130-nucleotide ribosomal RNA is filed under the name Lepisosteus oculatus (spotted gar). Lineage: Eukaryota; Metazoa; Chordata; Actinopteri; Semionotiformes; Lepisosteidae. The record is from RNAcentral.
GCCAGCAGCCAUAUCACCCUGCGACUCACAACUGGCAACCCACUGAAGCUAAGCUAAGCAGGUAUGAGCCUGGUCAGUACCUGGAUGGGAGACCUCCUGGGAAAAACUCCUGGGAAGGUUGCUGCUGGAA